AUUGAACGCUGGCGGCAUGCCUUACACAUGCAAGUCGAACGGCAGCACGGGAGCAAUCCUGGUGGCGAGUGGCGAACGGGUGGGUAAUAUAUCGGAACGUGCCCAGUCGUGGGGGAUAACGCAGCGAAAGCUGUGCUAAUACCGCAUACGAUCUAUGGAUGAAAGCGGGGGAUCGCAAGACCUCGCGCGAUUGGAGCGGCCGAUAUCAGAUUAGGUAGUUGGUGGGGUAAAGGCCCACCAAGCCGACGAGCUGUAGCUGGUCUGAGAGGACGACCAGCCACACUGGGACAGAGACACGGCCCAGACUCCUACGGGAGGCAGCAGUGGGGAAUUUUGGACAAUGGGGGCAACCCUGAUCCAGCAAUGCCGCGUGAGUGAAGAAGGCCUUCGGGUUGUAAAGCUCUUUUGUCAGGGAAGAAACAGCAGCUCUAACACAGUUUGCGAAUGACGGUACCUGAAGAAUAAGCACCGGCUAACUACGUGCCAGCAGCCGCCGUAA
RNAcentral lists this ribosomal RNA (499 nucleotides) under uncultured bacterium. RNAcentral describes it as "partial 16S ribosomal RNA". It matches the Rfam family "Bacterial small subunit ribosomal RNA", at positions 29 to 523 of the family's 1533-position model. The record is from RNAcentral.